GGGCCCGUGGCGCAGUCUGGAGCUGCGGACAGUAGCGCGCCGGCCUUGCAAGCCGGAGGUCGCGGGUUCAAACCACAAUGUGGAAGUCCCGCCGGGUCCACCA
Molecule: transfer RNA, 103 nt
Filed under: marine sediment metagenome
Rfam family: tRNA (bases 1-70)
About the family: Transfer RNA (tRNA) molecules are approximately 80 nucleotides in length. Their secondary structure includes four short double-helical elements and three loops (D, anti-codon, and T loops).
Source: RNAcentral